AUGGAAGGGCCAUCGCUCAACGGAUAAAAGGUACUCCGGGGAUAACAGGCUGAUACCGCCCAAGAGUUCAUAUCGACGGCGGUGUUUGGCACCUCGAUGUCGGCUCAUCACAUCCUGGGGCUGAAGUAGGUCCCAAGGGUAUGGCUGUUCGCCAUUUAAAGUGGUACGCGAGCUGGGUUUAGAACGUCGUGAGACAGUUCGGUCCCUAUCUGCCGUGGGCGCUGGAGAACUGAGGGGGGCUGCUCCUAGUACGAGAGGACCGGAGUGGACGCAUCACUGGUGUUCGGGUUGUCAUGCCAAUGGCACUGCCCGGUAGCUAAAUGCGGAAGAGAUAAGUGCUGAAAGCAUCUAAGCACGAAACUUGCCCCGAGAUGAGUUCUCCCUGACCCUUUAAGGGUCCUGAAGGAACGUUGAAGACGACGACGUUGAUAGGCCGGGUGUGUAAGCGCAGCGAUGCGUUGAGCUAACCGGUACUAAUGAACCGUGAGGCUUAACCUU
This 498-nucleotide ribosomal RNA is filed under the name Escherichia coli. RNAcentral's name for it is "partial 23S ribosomal RNA". It matches the Rfam family "Bacterial large subunit ribosomal RNA", at positions 2433 to 2925 of the family's 2925-position model. RNAcentral also lists the same sequence under 4 other names. The record is from RNAcentral. Lineage: Bacteria; Pseudomonadati; Pseudomonadota; Gammaproteobacteria; Enterobacterales; Enterobacteriaceae.